AUGGAAGGCCCUAUCCCACACUCCACCCACACACUGGGAACAAGUCUCUUUCUUUCUUUCUUUCUUUUUUUUUUUUUUUUUUUUUUUUGCUGGCUCAGCCGUUUAUUCGCCCUCGCGGGGUCACAGCAGAGCGGGGCCCGAGCACCCCCUCCCCACCAAGGUCCAGACCCGGCCCCCGACGCCCAGCCUGCGGCGUCCGGCUCGGUCACAGGUUGGCCCACUCCCGCUGCAGCCGCGAGGUGUAGGCGCGCGACACGGUGUUCCAGGCGUCCAUGUAGCGGUCCAUGCACAUGGCGAUGCACUCCCGAUGCACUUCCGGAAGCACUUGUCCGUCAUUCUCUGCAGCAGCUCCUGCGCGUUGGCCACGGCGAUCUGCACCUUCACCUGCUCCAUGAUGAGCCCCGGGUCCAGCUUCCCGCCGCCCGAGCCCCCGAAGUCCGAGCCGAAGCUGCCCUCCAUGGCUCCGCACAGUCAGCCGAACUGUGGCCGCGCGCACCGACCCGUCUCCCACAAGUCUCUUUCUUAAACUCCCCUCCGACCAGUUUGAGUGAGCCAAAUGUGUCCAUCUGGACCCUGCCUGGUACACUUCCCUCUUGAUGAGAUUUUUCUUCCCAUGCUUUUGCUACCCAAAAAUACUCUGAAGUUUGUUAAAAGAAAAGUUUCCAGAGAGAAAAAGAAAAAUCAUGUUGUUUUUUAUUUUUUCACAUUUUUGGAUGAUGAAAUUCUAAAGAGCCCUGAUUUUGGAUUGCAGUCUGCCAAAUGACACUGUAAACAGCCUUGAUUUGGAAUGGAGUUGCAUGCCCCAGAUCAAGGUUAUUUGCAAAUUUAUUUUGCCAAAAUCAGAACCCAGGUUUGAGAGUCCCAAUCCUCUUAUUUAUGGGAGUUAUUUUAGCAAACCGAGCAUAACUAUGGAAGGAAAGUAUAGAAACAGUUUUUCUUGCCUGUGUAUAUCUAAUUUGCAAACUACAAACAAUAUUUAAGCCAUUCAUCUGGACUCAUCAGCUCCAUGGUUGCUCCUGUCCAUCACAGCGCGUGUCCCCACACUGCUGCCCAGCUGCCCGGGUUCACACAGCACCCGGCCCUCAGGACACUCGAUCAGCUGCCCGCAGAGACAAACACGGUUAUCCCUCCACAAAAAUAUUCAAAAUCCAGCUAUAGGCAAAAAUGAAUAAAUCUCAGAAUGGAUGCUACA
RNAcentral lists this long non-coding RNA (1192 nucleotides) under Oryctolagus cuniculus (rabbit). RNAcentral describes it as "lncRNA (ENSOCUG00000031209.1)". The record is from RNAcentral. Lineage: Eukaryota; Metazoa; Chordata; Mammalia; Lagomorpha; Leporidae.